Molecule: ribosomal RNA, 2900 nt
Filed under: Klebsiella pneumoniae
Lineage: Bacteria; Pseudomonadati; Pseudomonadota; Gammaproteobacteria; Enterobacterales; Enterobacteriaceae
Description: bacterial LSU rRNA
Rfam family: Bacterial large subunit ribosomal RNA
Source: RNAcentral
UUAAGCGACUAAGCGUACACGGUGGAUGCCCUGGCAGUCAGAGGCGAUGAAGGACGUGCUAAUCUGCGAAAAGCGUCGGUAAGGUGAUAUGAACCGUUAUAGCCGGCGAUGUCCGAAUGGGGAAACCCAGUGCAAUUCGUUGCACUAUCGUUAACUGAAUACAUAGGUUAACGAGGCGAACCGGGGGAACUGAAACAUCUAAGUACCCCGAGGAAAAGAAAUCAACCGAGAUUCCCCCAGUAGCGGCGAGCGAACGGGGAGCAGCCCAGAGUCUGAAUCAGCUUGUGUGUUAGUGGAACGGUCUGGAAAGUCCGACGGUACAGGGUGAUAGUCCCGUACACCAAAAUGCACAGGUUGUGAACUCGAAGAGUAGGGCGGGACACGUGGUAUCCUGUCUGAAUAUGGGGGGACCAUCCUCCAAGGCUAAAUACUCCUGACUGACCGAUAGUGAACCAGUACCGUGAGGGAAAGGCGAAAAGAACCCCGGCGAGGGGAGUGAAAAAGAACCUGAAACCGUGUACGUACAAGCAGUGGGAGCACCUUCGGGUGUGACUGCGUACCUUUUGUAUAAUGGGUCAGCGACUUAUAUUCUGUAGCAAGGUUAACCGUAUAGGGGAGCCGCAGGGAAACCGAGUCUUAACUGGGCGUUAAGUUGCAGGGUAUAGACCCGAAACCCGGUGAUCUAGCCAUGGGCAGGUUGAAGGUUGGGUAACACUAACUGGAGGACCGAACCGACUAAUGUUGAAAAAUUAGCGGAUGACUUGUGGCUGGGGGUGAAAGGCCAAUCAAACCGGGAGAUAGCUGGUUCUCCCCGAAAGCUAUUUAGGUAGCGCCUCGUGAAUUCAUCUUCGGGGGUAGAGCACUGUUUCGGCUAGGGGGUCAUCCCGACUUACCAACCCGAUGCAAACUACGAAUACCGAAGAAUGUUAUCACGGGAGACACACGGCGGGUGCUAACGUCCGUCGUGAAGAGGGAAACAACCCAGACCGCCAGCUAAGGUCCCAAAGUCAUGGUUAAGUGGGAAACGAUGUGGGAAGGCACAGACAGCCAGGAUGUUGGCUUAGAAGCAGCCAUCAUUUAAAGAAAGCGUAAUAGCUCACUGGUCGAGUCGGCCUGCGCGGAAGAUGUAACGGGGCUAAACCAUGCACCGAAGCUGCGGCAGCGACACGAUGUGUUGUUGGGUAGGGGAGCGUUCUGUAAGCCUGCGAAGGUGUGCUGUGAGGCAUGCUGGAGGUAUCAGAAGUGCGAAUGCUGACAUAAGUAACGAUAAAGCGGGUGAAAAGCCCGCUCGCCGGAAGACCAAGGGUUCCUGUCCAACGUUAAUCGGGGCAGGGUGAGUCGACCCCUAAGGCGAGGCCGAAAGGCGUAGUCGAUGGGAAACAGGUUAAUAUUCCUGUACUUGGUGUUACUGCGAAGGGGGGACGGAGAAGGCUAUGUUAGCCGGGCGACGGUUGUCCCGGUUUAAGCAUGUAGGCUGGUUAUCCAGGCAAAUCCGGAUAAUCAAGGCUGAGGUGUGAUGACGAGGCACUACGGUGCUGAAGUAACAAAUGCCCUGCUUCCAGGAAAAGCCUCUAAGCAUCAGGUAACAUCAAAUCGUACCCCAAACCGACACAGGUGGUCAGGUAGAGAAUACCAAGGCGCUUGAGAGAACUCGGGUGAAGGAACUAGGCAAAAUGGUGCCGUAACUUCGGGAGAAGGCACGCUGGUGUGUAGGUGAAGUCCCUGCGGAUGGAGCUGAGACCAGUCGAAGAUACCAGCUGGCUGCAACUGUUUAUUAAAAACACAGCACUGUGCAAACACGAAAGUGGACGUAUACGGUGUGACGCCUGCCCGGUGCCGGAAGGUUAAUUGAUGGGGUUAUCCGUAAGGAGAAGCUCUUGAUCGAAGCCCCGGUAAACGGCGGCCGUAACUAUAACGGUCCUAAGGUAGCGAAAUUCCUUGUCGGGUAAGUUCCGACCUGCACGAAUGGCGUAAUGAUGGCCAGGCUGUCUCCACCCGAGACUCAGUGAAAUUGAACUCGCUGUGAAGAUGCAGUGUACCCGCGGCAAGACGGAAAGACCCCGUGAACCUUUACUAUAGCUUGACACUGAACAUUGAGCCUUGAUGUGUAGGAUAGGUGGGAGGCUUUGAAGCGUGGACGCCAGUCUGCGUGGAGCCAACCUUGAAAUACCACCCUUUAAUGUUUGAUGUUCUAACGUUGGCCCCUGACCGGGGUUGCGGACAGUGUCUGGUGGGUAGUUUGACUGGGGCGGUCUCCUCCCAAAGCGUAACGGAGGAGCACGAAGGUUAGCUAAUCCUGGUCGGACAUCAGGAGGUUAGUGCAAUGGCAUAAGCUAGCUUGACUGCGAGCGUGACGGCGCGAGCAGGUGCGAAAGCAGGUCAUAGUGAUCCGGUGGUUCUGAAUGGAAGGGCCAUCGCUCAACGGAUAAAAGGUACUCCGGGGAUAACAGGCUGAUACCGCCCAAGAGUUCAUAUCGACGGCGGUGUUUGGCACCUCGAUGUCGGCUCAUCACAUCCUGGGGCUGAAGUAGGUCCCAAGGGUAUGGCUGUUCGCCAUUUAAAGUGGUACGCGAGCUGGGUUUAGAACGUCGUGAGACAGUUCGGUCCCUAUCUGCCGUGGGCGCUGGAGAAUUGAGGGGGGCUGCUCCUAGUACGAGAGGACCGGAGUGGACGCAUCACUGGUGUUCGGGUUGUCAUGCCAAUGGCACUGCCCGGUAGCUAAAUGCGGAAGAGAUAAGUGCUGAAAGCAUCUAAGCACGAAACUUGCCCCGAGAUGAGUUCUCCCUGAGACUUUAAGUCUCCUGAAGGAACGUUGAAGACGACGACGUUGAUAGGCCGGGUGUGUAAGCGCAGCGAUGCGUUGAGCUAACCGGUACUAAUGAACCGUGAGGCUUAACCUU